UUUACCUUUAGUGGGGAUUACAGUUGGAAACGACUGCUAAUACCGCAUAAGCUGUGCAAACAGGAAAGGCGGCCUGUGAAUAUGCUGUCGGUAAAAGAUGAGCCCGCGUCUGAUUAGUUAGUUGGUGGGGUAAAAGCCUACCAAGGCGACGAUCAGUAGCCGGCCUGAGAGGGUGAACGGCCACACUGGGACUGAGACACGGCCCAGACUCCUACGGGAGGCAGCAGUGGGGAAUAUUGCGCAAUGGGGGAAACCCUGACGCAGCGACGCCGCGUGAGCGAAGAAGGCCUUAGGGUUGUAAAGCUCUGUUUUAGGGGACGUAUGUCGGAUGGAGGAAUAUGCCAUUCGAGUGACGGUACCCUAAGAGGAAGCCCCGGCUAAAUACGUGCCAGCAGCCGCGGUAAGACGUAGGGGGCGAGCGUUGUCCGGAAUUACUGGGCGUAAAGAGCACGUAGGCGGAGAUCUAAGUCAGGUGUGAUAGACCGGGGCUCAACCCCGGGAUUGCACUUGAAACUGAGUCCCUUGAGGGCAGGAGAGGAAAGCAGAAUUCCUGGUGUAGCGGUGUAAUGCGUAGAAAUCAGGAGGAAUACCAGUGGCGAAGGCGGCUUUCUGGACUGACCCUGACGCUGAGGUGCGAUAGCGUGGGUAGCAAACAGGAUUAGAUACCCUGGUAGUCCACGUCCGUAAACGAUGGAUACUA
Molecule: ribosomal RNA, 700 nt
Filed under: uncultured bacterium
Lineage: Bacteria
Description: bacterial SSU rRNA
Rfam family: Bacterial small subunit ribosomal RNA
Source: RNAcentral